Molecule: ribosomal RNA, 254 nt
Filed under: uncultured bacterium
Lineage: Bacteria
Description: partial 16S ribosomal RNA
Rfam family: Bacterial small subunit ribosomal RNA
Source: RNAcentral
UACGUAGGGUGCGAGCGUUAAUCGGAAUUACUGGGCGUAAAGCGUGCGCAGGCGGUUUUGUAAGCCAGAUGUGAAAUCCCCCGGGCUUAACCUGGGAAUGGCAUUUGGGACUGCAAGGCUGGAGUACGGCAGAGGAGACUGGAAUUCCUGGUGUAGCAGUGAAAUGCGUAGAGAUCAGGAGGAAUACCGAUGGCGAAGGCAGGUCUCUGGGCUGAUACUGACGCUCAUGCACGAAAGCGUGGGGAGCAAACAGG